This 253-nucleotide ribosomal RNA is filed under the name uncultured bacterium. RNAcentral describes it as "partial 16S ribosomal RNA". It matches the Rfam family "Bacterial small subunit ribosomal RNA", at positions 524 to 776 of the family's 1533-position model. The record is from RNAcentral.
UACGUAGGCAGCGAGCGUUGUUCGGAGUUACUGGGCGUAAAGGGUGUGUAGGCGGUUGUUUGCGUUUGGCGUGAAAUCUCCCGGCUCAACUGGGAGGGUGCGCCGAAUACUGAGCGACUAGAGUGCGGGAGAGGAAAGUGGAAUUCCUGGUGUAGCGGUGAAAUGCGUAGAUAUCAGGAGGAACACCGGUGGUGUAGACGGCUUUCUGGACCGUAACUGACGCUGAGACACGAAAGCGUGGGUAGCAAACAGG